RNAcentral lists this ribosomal RNA (254 nucleotides) under uncultured bacterium. Its description in RNAcentral is "partial 16S ribosomal RNA". It matches the Rfam family "Bacterial small subunit ribosomal RNA", at positions 524 to 776 of the family's 1533-position model. The record is from RNAcentral.
UACGUAGGGUCCUAGCGUUGUCCGGAAUUAUUGGGCGUAAAGAGCUCGUAGGCGGCGUGUCGCGUCGGAUGUGAAAGCCCGGGGCUUAACUCCGGGUCUGCAUUCGGUACGGGCAUGGCUGGAGUUCGGUAGGGGAGACUGGAAUUCCUGGUGUAGCGGUGAAAUGCGCAGAUAUCAGGAGGAACACCGGUGGCGAAGGCGGGUCUCUGGGCCGAUACUGACGCUGAGGUGCGAAAGCGUGGGGAGCAAACAGG